UUUGCACCUUAUCUCUAAAUAUAGAAACCAAAAUAAUAUUCCUUUUUUCAGAAAAAUUGGGAGACAAACUCAAGUUCUUUGUUUUCAGGUUGAGAACAUGGACUGGUAUUUCACAAGAGAAACUGAAAAUUUUGUUGUUCCUGAUGAUCAAGAAACUGAAGAUGUAUCUACUGAAAAACUUAGUGAAAAAGAUGAAAUUCCCGGUCAUCAGUACAAAAAAUUUAGUAACUCAAGUGCAAAUAAGCUAACUUCAUCGAUAAAUUGCAGCUUGGGGAUGUCGGAAACUUCAAUUCAAAGCAUUUCUGAUUUCCGGUUGCCGAACAAUAUGGGGCAAAUGGAUGACACUUUCUUAAACUCUUUGCUGGAAGAUGAUUU
Dioscorea cayenensis subsp. rotundata (Guinea yam) is the source of this 375-nucleotide long non-coding RNA. RefSeq lists it as uncharacterized. NCBI's taxonomy places the organism in Eukaryota, Viridiplantae, Streptophyta, Magnoliopsida, Dioscoreales, Dioscoreaceae. The record is from RefSeq and is a predicted model, not a curated record. The transcript is spliced from 3 exons.